UGGGCUCAAGCUACAUAGCUGGGACUGUAGGCUUGUGCCACCAUACCUAGCUUUACCUCAAAGACUGUUGUCCACUCUACUUUUCCUAAGCCCUCCCGUGUUCUCCUGUCUGCUGGCUGCAAUCUAUAAUUCAUUUGUGUGAAAAGACAAAAUUACCAAUGACUUGAGUUCAGAGAUCCUAACAUAGCUAGGUGCUAUGGUGCAGACCCAUACCCACGGUCCCAGAUAAUUGAAAAGCUGAAGGGGGAACAUCCUUGGGCCCAGGAAUCCAAGGACAACCGGACAUUGUGGAAGCCGGGAGAUAGGUGGGGACACACACAUCUUCUUAGUUAGCUUUUAUUUGCAGUCACGGAAUCAAGAGGCAGCAAGUGCCCUGGUGAGACGGAGAGAGAGGGUGGACAAGGGCGAGCAAGGGAAAGUGGAAACAGCAAGAAAACUAGAUUAACCUCCCGUGACACUGGCUGUUUAUGGAUUGGGCUAGCCUCGCCUCCAUUUCCCUAAGUGACGGAGGCUCAAAUCUGACAUUAGCUUGUUUGUUUUCCUUGUGUUGUGGAUGGAAGCCAGGGCCUUGCAUAGGCUAAGUGCCACCCCUGAGCGCUGCUCCUAGUCCUCCUCUCUGCUGAUUCCCGCCCAGCCUGGUCCCAGCCCUUGAGUGACUCAGCUUUGGUCUGGUCGGUUGGUCCCAGUGCUGGAGCUCAACAUCUAACAUUGUAUCCAUUUGAUUAAGUAUUUGAUACUUCCUCCUUAUCCCUCCUUGGAGGUGCUCACUCACUGAGGGCAGGAGCUAUGUGUCUCGGUCACUUCUCCUGCCUCCAGCUUGCUCCUGCCUGGCACCAUGGCUUUUGUGGGGUAGACACUCAAUAAAUAUAUAUUUUUAAAGC
Molecule: long non-coding RNA, 881 nt
Filed under: Mus musculus (house mouse)
Lineage: Eukaryota; Metazoa; Chordata; Mammalia; Rodentia; Muridae
Description: long non-coding RNA chr7:38195709-38196590
Source: RNAcentral